AGGAGAUCCAGGUUGAGUCUGAGCUCGGCCUCAUUACUUUCUUUGUUGAAAUUCGAAGUCCUGAAGCUCGGCAUACCUAUUUCUACUGGUAUGACCGAUUCAGUACCGAAGACCAUGGAGUAUGGAGUUUCGCCCGUAGGAAUCCGGCUAGUAGUAUGAUAAGCCCAAAGUAUGCUUGGCAAGUCUUCCGCCCAUUCGCUUUUUGAC
RNAcentral lists this long non-coding RNA (207 nucleotides) under Actinidia chinensis (golden kiwifruit). Its description in RNAcentral is "long non-coding RNA (ACHI_LNC008646)". The record is from RNAcentral. Lineage: Eukaryota; Viridiplantae; Streptophyta; Magnoliopsida; Ericales; Actinidiaceae.